This is a long non-coding RNA of Hippoglossus stenolepis (Pacific halibut), 2376 nucleotides long. RefSeq lists it as uncharacterized. NCBI's taxonomy places the organism in Eukaryota, Metazoa, Chordata, Actinopteri, Pleuronectiformes, Pleuronectidae. The record is from RefSeq and is a predicted model, not a curated record. The transcript is spliced from 3 exons.
UGUUUGAAAAGUUAAUUUUAUAUGGAAUACAGAAUACAUAUUGUCUCAUGCUCUUUUAAAUCCUGUUGAGUAUGUGAAGUAUAUAAUGAGGUGCACCUUACAUGCAUGUAAUGUCACUGACAUGAUAUGUCGUGAUAUGAUGUAAGAUGUGUAGAUCCUCUUGGUUUUGGGGACUUCAGGUGUCCAGUGUUGGGAAUUCUGAUAUUAAAAACAUGUAUGGAGUUACACAGUCUGUGCUCGUGCUUUACCCACAGACCUAAAAUGGAAUAGUAAUAAUAUAGUUCACCCUGCAAGAAUAUCUGAGCACACAUUAUUAUUUUAAUUUCACACCUCCUGCUUUAAACAGACCAUAAAGACACGAGAAUGACAGUGAAGAUGGCAUCAGAUGAUCAAAUGAAAAGAAUCAAACAAUACUAUGAUGAGUAAAGGUUAAAAGAAAAGUGUAAAAUGUGAGUGUAAGGCAGGUUAUUUUCUGUAGUUUACAAAGUUACAGAUGUUCUUUAAACGCAUCGCCAGAAGCUAAUUGUAGUUUACGUAGCUUGCAGGAGUCCCCUAAAUGCAUCACCUUUGAACUAUCAGCAGGUGAUGUAAAAUGGCUGCACACAGAGAAACUAAAUACUUUUAUUAACUAGCGAUGAGAGUUGAAGUGGGACUGACAGUGUUAGAAAUGGAAGAAGUGCACGACUCUGCCGACCUGCUGUGAGAGAGAAGUUACCGUCUGGUGAAACUUCUUUGUGAGUUUUCUUCUGAAAGUGGAGAAUUACCCAGGUUGAGCUGUGAGCUUCUUCAUCUACUGCUACAUCAUCAUCGCACAUGUGGAUACCCUUGUUUCACCUGGACGCUGAUGUGUGGAUGUCUGUGCUGUUUAAAUGACGAGCUUGGAAAUCUCAUCUGACAGCCCGGAUCCCUAUCUGGGUGAGAUCAGGAACUAGUCAUCAGAGCCGAGACCAUCUGUUUACACGAAGACAAGCCACAGAGCUCUGACUCAGGGUUACCCAACACCGCCAGACGAGGCAGCUGACUCCCAGCGAAAAAAGGCAGCGGGGUUGCAGCCACGGCGCUUCAUAACCGUUCUGAUCUGUGAUAGUCUAAACAAAAGAAAUGGAGUGGUGUGCUGUGGAAUGUACGACGUUCAACUGAUAUAUAGAGCUGCCAAACCCAGAUCACACUCAGUCAGCAUUAGCUUUGUCUUAUAUGGUGGAUAUGAUGCAGUCUGGUCAAACGCCUACUGUAGAUCUACUGUCAGUUCUAUAAUACAGUUGUGUGCGUGUGCAUGUAUAUAUCAUGUGUGUAUAUACACUUUUCUGGUUAUUUGAUCCAUUACAAUUUCUACUAUUUCUUUUGGAGUACAAGCGCAAUGGCUAAAACAGGAGAAUAAGAAUUUAGAGGUUUGUGAAAAUCCAUGUAUUUUCUAGUGUGUAUGUCUUUCUAUUGUUGCAGGAGGGUGAGUACAGGACACCCAGUGGGAAAACUGUUCCAGCUAUAAUAUUGCAACCUGUAUUUAACCCAGCUGGAAAUAUCGUCACAGUCCCAACAUUUCUGUCGAGCAGGAAGAGUUAUUGUUCUCUUUGUUGUUGGGUCUCACCCAGAAGGUGCUUCGGGAAAUUCUGGAAAUCAAGUUAAGUCACAAAGAAAGAUGUUCUUGGAUGGGAUUGUCUAAAAUAGCAGUUUUUUCUUUUGGUCUUUUGCUGAAGUCUAGACACUGAGAAUAACAUGGGCUCUUUUUCAGCAAGUUGACAAGUUUUGUCUGCUUGGAAAGAAUAAAUCAAAUUAAAAGCAGGUCACCCAAAAUGACAAUCCUGAAUGGAUUGGUCUUUUCUUUACUUUACUUAUCCCUGAUCAGACUUUAUUGAUCAGAGUGUGUGAGAGAGAAAAAUAUUUUAUAAUUAUCAAGUGACUAUUUGAAAUAUAUUAUUGUCAAUUUAGUCUUUAGUAGUAAAUAUAAAAUAGAAGAAAUAAAAUACAAGACUUUUAAGGAAAAUUCCAAAAUAGAAAUAACAAAAUAUAAAUUAUACAAUUGAAGAAAUAUAACAUGAUAAAUACACACACAUUUAAAUAGAUAUAUAAAUUAAUAAAUAAUUCUAACAAUAAGAUGUCCUCUUGCAUGUCCUCUUUAGAGUAUUUCAGUUUGUUGAUGAAGCCAAAAAUAUUAGUUUGAAAAGUCUAGAAAUUUAAAUAAGUGUAUUUUGAAAAAGAUGUGGUCUUUGGUGCAGGGGUGGUACAUUUUAAUACACAAAAAUGAGACAAACCAAGGGACUGUGGAAAUAUCAGUAAGCCUCUAUAAGUGUGGCUAAUGCUGCUAAAAUAUUUUUAAAAAUGCGUCUCUGCAGGGUAUCAUCUUUGAAAUGCAUUUUCCACGCUAAUAAAAGCUUUUUU